GUGCAUCAAACAGGGUGCGGUGUUUGAAUUGCUACUGUGAAAUGGUGGAUCUGGUUGAUAGAAAAUGUCACAUGGAGGAUAGAGCAUUGUAUUGUUUUGAAAAAAAGUACAAGCAAAAAAAAUGAAAAUGAAACGCUGACAAUACAAUUGAGUUUAUCUUGUUAGAUAACUUGCAUGAAAAUGCCAACCCAACAAGGUGUCUGCAUUAGAAUUGGGAUGGAUUGAAAAUUGUCAUGUGAAUGAAAUUGCAAACACGAUGUGGAAUCCGAGAGUAGGAUUUGUGGAAUUGUGACCCUGUUUUAUUGGCAUGAAGACACAUGGGGUUUGAGGGUUGGGAUUGCGAGAGUUACGUGUUUUUUUGCUCGUGUGUUAGAGGGUUUGGAAUUAUGUGAAAUGGAUUAUUUGGGAAUAGAGUAGAAAGAGAGGAUUUUGAUGUUUUUAGUCUGUUGGAAUUUUCCAAGAUGCUGUGCAAAAGAGAAAGAAAAAGACAGCCACAAUUGUAGUGUUUUGAUAAACUGAAAGUGAUUAAGGUUAGUACACAAACCAGUGGAGUACAUAAAAUUGAAACUUAUCCAUUUAACCUUAAAAGUGAAGUAACCAUCACAUUUGGUUGAAUUUGCAAUAGAUCAUUCUUCUGCACCAUUACAACAUCAAUUUCAUCUUGUGAUGUCAUUCACAAAAUGGGGAUUGAUCUGCACAGCCCAAUGCCUUAUCAACAUCAUAUUGUUUGUCUCCAGCUGCAAAAAACAUUAUUAUAUUAUUAUUGUUAUUAACAUAAAAUUUACAAAUUUGCAUGUACAUGUCUGCUGGUUGCUGUGACUUGUGAGGCAAUGUACAAUUGACUCACAUGAGAAUGAGGAGAAACAUGCUGACACUCUGAAUAAAUGUACACUUGAAAAGAAUAAUAAUGAAAAAAAAAAAGAAAAAGAAAAAGGAAAAACACAUGAAAGCAAGUAAGAAAGAAUGUCAAACACAAGAUGCAGACCUUUGACAUCCAGCCCUAAAGUUUUUAGUAAGGACUUAGUGCAGAUCAUGCAUGAAUCACUUGAAUUGUCAUUGAAAUGGCUCCAGUUUACAUUGGGAGCUG
Molecule: long non-coding RNA, 1087 nt
Filed under: Physcomitrium patens
Lineage: Eukaryota; Viridiplantae; Streptophyta; Bryopsida; Funariales; Funariaceae
Description: long non-coding RNA (PPAT_LNC004842)
Source: RNAcentral